Molecule: long non-coding RNA, 1007 nt
Organism: Homo sapiens (human)
Lineage: Eukaryota; Metazoa; Chordata; Mammalia; Primates; Hominidae
Source: Ensembl
ACAGUCAUUGUUUCCAGACCAGCCGAGCCAACUGGGGAGGAGAGGCCAAGCCCAGGGAGAGCAGUAAGAGGCCCAGCUUGCAACACAGGCCCCCGGCGGCUGGAGUCGGCUCAUGGGUUGCUGGGGGGCAGCUGGUGCCAGCCCUGCUAGACAUGUCCAGGGUCGGGGCAGAGGCCAGGGUGGCUCUCAUCCACAACGAGGCUCCAGGAAGAGGCUCCAGAGGGCCCAGGUCCCUGGAGGAAGACAGAGGGUGGAUUAUCCAUCUCAAGGACUUGGGCAGCUUCUGGAAGUGGCUGAGACUGGAAGAAUGUUGUCACACCUACCAGAUAUCCCUACGUGUAUCUCUACCACCCCCACUACAUAUUCUGAAGAACCAAGGUGCAACAGGAACCUGGAGCCUCAAGAGCCGAGGUGCUCAGGAGGGGCAGCAUGACUCCAGGGCUCGGAAGGAGCCCCUCAGGGGAACCUCAAGAGUGCUGCCUGAGUAACUCUCAUUACACAAAGACACAACUGCAAGAGGAUCCCCAGGCAUUCCCAUGAGAACACAGAUUCUGACAACCCCUCCAUCCCCCACCUUGGUCUCCACCCCAGGACUCACAGCAUGGCAAAAAUCCAAGGGAAGAUUCUUGGGUAACUAAUGCUCCUUUACAGGGGGUCCCGGAUGAAGGGCAGGGGGAAAGUCUUGUCACUGUGGGGCUAGGAUAGAUGAACCCAAGAGUGAUUUGCCAAACGUGCACAUACUCAAAUCAUUUUUCAAACAUUUUGGGUUUGGCAAAAUGCAUGUUGCUAAGCCCCCUUUCCCGACAGUGGUAUACCCAUGUGAAUUUCAAGGGAAAUUCAAUGUGUGUGUUUCUGAUUCUCUUAGGCUUAUCUCAGGACAAUUAUUUAGCAAGAACCACUUUGUGUCCAAGAAUCUUCCUGAACCCUUUCUUUUGUAAGACCCCUUAAACAAUUUUCCUUUUAACCAGGAAGUAUGUUUUGUCUGGAGUAAAUUGAACUGAAACCCC